CUUAAACCUAUGGACCCAAUUAAGGGGUCCAGUUUUCAUUCUUUUGGAAGGGGGGUCACUUCCAGUGACUAUUUUUCCUUUCCUAUUUUUCUCUGGUCCUGAAACGCUCACGGCUUCCUUUCUUUUCUCCUUUUCCAUGAACAGCGGUGAGAGUGCAAUGAUGGAGGUGAGAGACGCGAAAAGGUUGCAGCGAGAACGACGAGGUCGCAAGAGUGGCGUUUCUAACGGGGUUCAAAACUCUAGUUUCUUUCUUCUCUCUUUCUUGCUCGGGCAACUCAAGUUGGAGAGAUCAUCGUUGGUGCGGCGAUGUCGGCGAGGGCGCGACGACUGCGUGGUAGAGGCACGUUGAGGAGACGACGUUCUCUUCGUGGCAGUGUGUUGGUGGCGACUUUCACGGUUCAAGGACAGAGGCUUUAUUCUUCUUAUCCCCUCUUUCGAUUUUUACGAUUAGGGUUUUGUGUGUUCACCAGAUCUUUGGAUUGCCAUUUUCGCGUUUGGGUUGGUUUUGAUCUUCUGCAGGUCUGGUUUUUCUUGAUUGGGAUUAAGGUUCUGAUUGGGAUGGUUAGGGUUUUGAAUUGGGAAAAUUCUUUUAGGGUAAUUUUUGUUUGUGUUCUGCCUCUUAGUUUAUCCGGUGUAACUGAAACUUGCGGUGAAGAGGAAUGGAGGUUGAGCGAGAACGAACAAGAACGUAUUGUUGGGCUGCGGCUAAGUUGCUCUCGGUCUGGACCUAAGUGAGUUUGUAGACUCAAAGUUGAAUUCGAGAUUAGUCUUUUUGAUUUCUAAUUGAGCCUGUAGACUCCCAUAAUACACUCUGUUUAGUUUUGAAUUUUUAAUGGUAGAAAAGAAAAAUUAAAAAUUCAAUAAUAUUAAUAAUAAUCAGAAUUUUAACUGGACUGUUUAUACUUACAGGGUGAUUUAAUUUGGAAGUGUAAAAGUAUUAAUUAUUGAUAUUAAUUAAUAAUUAUUCAUAUUAAUUAAUGAUGUUAAAUUAAAAAGGGAG
This 1000-nucleotide long non-coding RNA is filed under the name Vigna radiata. RNAcentral's name for it is "long non-coding RNA (VRAD_LNC009367)". The record is from RNAcentral. Lineage: Eukaryota; Viridiplantae; Streptophyta; Magnoliopsida; Fabales; Fabaceae.